RNAcentral lists this unclassified non-coding RNA (364 nucleotides) under uncultured Gammaproteobacteria bacterium. RNAcentral's name for it is "contains 16S-23S intergenic spacer region". The record is from RNAcentral. Lineage: Bacteria; Pseudomonadati; Pseudomonadota; Gammaproteobacteria.
UCCCCGUUGCCGAGGCAGUCUGACUAGAUAUUACAACUAGCCACGAGGGUUGCGCUCGUUGCGGGACUUAACCCAACAUCUCACGACACGAGCUGACGACAGCCAUGCAGCACCUGUGUUACGGCUCCCUUUCGGGCACCCUCGCAUCUCUGCGAGGUUCCGUACAUGUCAAGGGUAGGUAAGGUUUUUCGCGUUGCAUCGAAUUAAUCCACAUAAUCCACCGCUUGUGCGGGUCCCCGUCAAUUCCUUUGAGUUUUAACCUUGCGGCCGUACUCCCCAGGCGGAUGACUUCACGCGUUAGCUGCGUUACUAAGGGAUUUAACUCCCCCAACAACUAGUCAUCAUCGUUUAGGGCGUGGACUAC